Nicotiana tabacum (common tobacco) is the source of this 3256-nucleotide long non-coding RNA. RefSeq lists it as uncharacterized. NCBI's taxonomy places the organism in Eukaryota, Viridiplantae, Streptophyta, Magnoliopsida, Solanales, Solanaceae. The record is from RefSeq and is a predicted model, not a curated record.
AUGUACAACGAUAUUGUAAACUAUUUUUUUAAAAUUUUUUAAUAGGUUGCUCAAAAGAUAUUUACAGGUUACGCUCUAUAAAAGCGAAAUUAAUAAUCUUGAACAUAAACUAGGUUAGCUGUUACAACAAUAAGGCUGACCUGAUAGUGUAAAUCGAUAUAUAUAUAAGCUAAACUCCGAAAAAUACCGUUAAUCUAAAAGCUUAAUUUCAUUGCCUUGUUUUCCUUUUUUCUGAAAAAGAAAACCUUAUUUCACUCUCAAUUGACUUAAAAGCAUAGCCAUCAAUAUCUGGAUCAAUAUCCAAUUGUAAGUUUUAGUUAAGAUUUGUUAGAGGGAUUAAUCCCAAUUUCGUAUUGGCUUAUUCAAACUAUACGAUAACUAACAUCAAAAUAUGCAUAUUUUUCUUUAUUUUUCUGUCUUUCGGCAAUUGCUGUUGUAUUAAAACUCCAUUGUUGCUUUUCUCUAAAAAUCUUCAAUCCUUUUGCUUCUUGUUUCUUUCCCAUAUUUUGAUCACUAUCUUCGAAUGGCUUCUCCAAAUACUCCAAUCAACGCUCAAGAGAUGAUUGCCACUAUAGAGGUAGCUAUCGUCGUUCCUCUUCAUGCAACCACCGCGACAAUGGAGGACAUAAUGGUGGAGGAACCACCUAUCCUCAAAAGAAGGAAUAGAGGCAGAAACCUUCCACGAUGGCGGAAGAGGGACCAUCAGCCCCUGUCGAUGCAAGCAGAGCAGUUCCGACCACUUCGUCCUCUACGAUUUUGGCGCCAACCCCUACUAGGAAAGUCAAGGCCGCCAAAGCCUCAUGCAAAGGCAAGAAAGAACAGGAAGAACCGACAACUUCGGAGUUUCUUCUGAACAUACUCCAUCUCAUAUGUCUUGUCGGUUGCAGGAACAAUACUAGAAAGGCUGAUUGAAAGUUUUCUUUUGACCUUACAAGUAGAGCAUCUUUUGGAGGGGUUGAGAGAUUGUGCCUGUGAGGACAAGGUCGAACACCCCUUUCUAGAGUAGGAGAGAACAUUACCACACUCUGGGAAGAUUUGUCAUUCGUGUUCAUCUACCCGUUCACCCUCGGGUUCAAGCAGGCCAUUGAUCCGGUAAUCAAGGACCUUAUCAAGGCAUUCAAUGUCUGCUUAGGUCAGCUCGGACCAAGUGUUGGCAGUUAGUGGCUUGCCUGAGGUUCCUUGCCGAGAAGGUGGGGAAAUGUUUCUCCUUCAAGCAUCUUAUUCAAAUUUAAUGCCCCAAACUUAAAAAUGGUCAAUGUUAACAUUAGCGAACCAUAACACUCUGCUCUUCUGGCCAAUACCAAGGACAAUUGCAACUUCUAGAGAUGCUAAUUCGAGUCGAGCUCAUGAAAGAAUUUAUGAGUAUACCUCGGGAUGACUUUUUAUCUACUACUCAUCUGAGAUGGUACGAGAAUUUUGUUAAAAUACAUACCCGGGAUAUAUUAAGCGAAGGCGAUCUUUCUUUCUUGGAAGAAAAGAAUUUCAAGCGUAAUUUCUCCAUUUAUUAUUUGUUUAUCAUUAUCCCUUUUAGGGAGAUUUUCUGAUUUGUACGAUAAUCAACGACUCUAAAUUCCAUUACCGGCCUGCCCUCUAAUACGGAGGAGUGCUUUGGUAAAGUUGACAACCAUAGAGGUGAUGACGUGAAAAAUGAUUUCUCUAGUCAGGGGAUGGGAGUUGAAGAAUCACGGUAUGAGUGCUUUAACCAAGUGAAGUUUUAAGCGUUCCCGUUUGAUGAUAUUCCUGAAAUACCUCUUUUGCUGUAAUAGGCACUGGAUCUAGGAAAUAAUUAGCUUAGGCUAAGGUUCUAGAUCUCGAGAUGACCCAAGAACUUGUACAUCAACCAUUCUUAGCCAAGAGGAAAUUCGGCGAGGACGUACCUUCUGCCCCGAAUCCCAAAAAAAAAAAAAAAAAGAGUUCUAAAAAGAGGGCUCAAGAUAAUAAGGAGGAGAAAAGUCCUCGAGUUUUGACCCUAAGGUACCUUUCCCAGCGACAAGAUGAGUCCGAGGAAGAAAACCUUCCACUUUUCUCCAAUUUUCCCAAUGUUCUAGUUGAAGAUGAUGACUAGUAGGAAUUACCCCUGAGGCGGAGGUCCAGCAAUGAGCCGAUGGUACCAGAGGAGGAGGAUGGUGAUGCCUCUAAGUGAUCAUUUUGACGAGGUGGUCACAGUUUAUUCGUAAGAGUUAUAGCUCCCGAAACUCGAUUCUAACAGGACGAUGUGAUCUAUUGCUUCAGAACUCUAUUUAAGGUGCCUCCGCGUCCGGAGCCUGAAUAAUCCAUGACCCCUAGAGAAACAGGUGAUGGUAUAAAUUCCUACCGAGGGGAACAUUUUUCGGAGGCCCAAAAAGGUUGCUUCGUGGUUCAAAGGCUUUAUCAAGCCCUUGAAAUGGUAGUUAGUACAUGGAGAAUGCUUCAACAUCGGCCCUUGCUAAUCAUGUGGCAACCUCGAGUUUUAAGGUUAACUUGGUGGCCACAGAGCUCCAUAGUAGAAUCACGAAGGGCGACAUUGUUCGAUGUGCACAUGUGCGGGAGAUCAAGAGGUUGAUGCAAGCCUUAUCAAAGAAGGAUGCAGAGAAAGAAACAUUUUUCGCAGAGGUCCUAGAGUCUUCUAAGAGGGUAAGUCGGUUAGAGCAAGAGAAAGAGGCCUCAGGAAUAGAGUUGUUCCAUCAAUUCGGCAAGCUACACAGAAGGUGCAAAGUCUCGAGAUUGCCAUUAAGAGGAAAAAUGAUUAGCAUAUGAGUUUGGUAGAGAAACGGACUUAUGUUAUCUCCGAGAGCCAAGACCUUGAGGACCGAUCCACGGAGGUGGUCGAGCUUCCGGGCCUAGUGAGAUGACGCAACCUCAAAAUUAAAGAAGAUUAAAAGAAGGCGACCGAAGGCAAACAAUACGCCUACCUGCUAGCUUGCCAAAAGACCCUUCAUGAAGUCUGUCUUGGGCUUUCUCCUUGGAUGAAGAAAUUGCUAGAUAAAUGCCCUUGUUGACGAGGCAAAUCCUUCCAGCUCCUCUACCUCCGACGACUCCAAUGGAUCUAAGGAUGAAGGGGAAAGAGAGGAUGUGGACGAGGUCCAUACUGAAGUCCCCAAAGAUAAGGGUGACGAGAUGUAUUCUUUGCCGCAAGCUCCUGCAAUUAAUGCUUAUUCAUCUCUCCCUUAUUCCUAACAAUCAUCAUUGCAUGAAAUAUGAGAUUCUCCAAGAUCUUCUUUGUAAUAGUUUUUGAAUGAUAGGCCUUUUGUGCCUUUUAUAAUAGCGAAUUUGUUUA